CUUGUUGGGGUUGUAGGACUCCAAUAUGGUAGUCUGUUAGUAUAGUUGAAGGAUUUGGAAAAUUCCGCUAAAGAGGGUGAAAGCCCCGUAGACGAAAUGCUAACAACACCUAGGAGGAUCCUGAGUACGGCGGAACACGAGAAAUUCCGUCGGAAUCCGCGGGGACCAUCCCGCAAGGCUAAAUACUCCCUAGUGACCGAUAGUGAACCAGUACCGUGAGGGAAAGGUGAAAAGCACCCCGGAAGGGGAGUGAAAUAGAUCCUGAAACCGUGUGCCUACAACAAGUCAAAGCUCGUUAAUGAGUGAUGGCGUGCCUUUUGUAGAAUGAACCGGCGAGUUACGAUUGCAUGCGAGGUUAAGUCGAAGAGACGGAGCCGCAGCGAAAGCGAGUCUGAAUAGGGCGAAUGAGUAUGUAGUCGUAGACCCGAAACCAUGUGAUCUACCCAUGUCCAGGUUGAAGGUGCGGUAAAACGCACUGGAGGACCGAACCCACGUACGUUGAAAAGUGCGGGGAUGAGGUGUGGGUAGCGGAGAAAUUCCAAACGAACUUGGAGAUAGCUGGUUCUCUCCGAAAUAGCUUUAGGGCUAGCCUCGGAAUUGAGAAUGAUGGAGGUAGAGCACUGUUUGGACUAGGGGCCCAUCUCGGGUUACCGAAUUCAGAUAAACUCCGAAUGCCAUUCAUUUAUAUCCGGGAGUCAGACUGCGAGUGAUAAGAUCCGUAGUCGAAAGGGAAACAGCCCAGACCACCAGCUAAGGUCCCAAAAUAUAUGUUAAGUGGAAAAGGAUGUGGGGUUGCACAGACAACUAGGAUGUUGGCUUAGAAGCAGCCACCAUUUAAAGAGUGCGUAAUAGCUCACUAGUCGAGUGACCCUGCGCCGAAAAUGUACCGGGGCUAAACAUAUUACCGAAGCUGUGGACUACACCAUUAGGUGUAGUGGUAGGAGAGCGUUCUAAGGGCGUUGAAGGUCGAUCGUGAGGACGGCUGGAGCGCUUAGAAGUGAGAAUGCCGGUAUGAGUAGCGAAAGACAGGUGAGAAUCCUGUCCACCGUAUGACUAAGGUUUCCUGGGGAAGGCUCGUCCGCCCAGGGUUAGUCGGGACCUAAGCCGAGGCCGAUAGGCGUAGGCGAUGGACAACAGGUUGAUAUUCCUGUACCAGUUGUUUUUGUUUGAGCAAUGGAGGGACGCAGUAGGCUAAGGAAUGCAUGCGAUUGGAAGUGCAUGUCCAAGCAAUGAGUCUUGAGUAGAGUUAAAUGCUUUACUCUCUAAGGACAAGUUGUGACGGGGAGCGAAAUAAUAGUAGCGAAGUUCCUGAUGUCACACUGCCAAGAAAAGCUUCUAGUGAGAAAACAACUGCCCGUACCGUAAACCGACACAGGUAGUCGAGGAGAGUAUCCUAAGGUGAGCGAGCGAACUCUCGUUAAGGAACUCGGCAAAAUGACCCCGUAACUUCGGGAGAAGGGGUGCUGACUUCGGUCAGCCGCAGUGAAUAGGCCCAAGCGACUGUUUAUCAAAAACACAGGUCUCUGCAAAAUCGUAAGAUGAAGUAUAGGGGCUGACGCCUGCCCGGUGCUGGAAGGUUAAGAGGAUGGGUUAGCUUCGGCGAAGCUCAGAAUUGAAGCCCCAGUAAACGGCGGCCGUAACUAUAACGGUCCUAAGGUAGCGAAAUUCCUUGUCGGGUAAGUUCCGACCCGCACGAAAGGCGUAACGAUUUGGGCACUGUCUCAACGAGAGACUCGGUGAAAUUUUAGUACCUGUGAAGAUGCAGGUUACCCGCGACAGGACGGAAAGACCCCAUGGAGCUUUACUGUAGUUUGAUAUUGAGUGUUUGUACCACAUGUACAGGAUAGGUAGGAGCCGAUGAGACCGGAACGCUAGUUUCGGAGGAGGCGCUGGUGGGAUACUACCCUUGUGUUAUGAACCCUCUAACCCGCACCACUAAUCGUGGUGGGAGACAGUGUCAGAUGGGCAGUUUGACUGGGGCGGUCGCCUCCUAAAAGGUAACGGAGGCGCCCAAAGGUUCCCUCAGAAUGGUUGGAAAUCAUUCGAAGAGUGUAAAGGCAGAAGGGAGCUUGACUGCGAGACCUACAAGUCGAGCAGGGACGAAAGUCGGGCUUAGUGAUCCGGUGGUUCCGCAUGGAAGGGCCAUCGCUCAACGGAUAAAAGCUACCCUGGGGAUAACAGGCUUAUCUCCCCCAAGAGUCCACAUCGACGGGGAGGUUUGGCACCUCGAUGUCGGCUCG
RNAcentral lists this ribosomal RNA (2240 nucleotides) under human gut metagenome. RNAcentral's name for it is "bacterial LSU rRNA". It matches the Rfam family "Bacterial large subunit ribosomal RNA", at positions 288 to 2539 of the family's 2925-position model. The record is from RNAcentral.